GGCUCGUUGGUCUAGGGGUAUGAUUCUCGCUUCGGUUGCGAGAGGUCCCGGGUUCAAAUCCCGCACGAGCCC
Molecule: transfer RNA, 72 nt
Filed under: Dermacentor andersoni
Lineage: Eukaryota; Metazoa; Arthropoda; Arachnida; Ixodida; Ixodidae
Description: transfer RNA proline (anticodon CGG)
Rfam family: tRNA
About the family: Transfer RNA (tRNA) molecules are approximately 80 nucleotides in length.
Source: RNAcentral